CGAGGCUCCCACCUGCGCUCAGCGCUUGGUAGCUAGGAGGGAAUGGGAGGAUGCUUGCGGGGUAGGGAGGCGAGGGUUGGAAAUUGGCAGAAUGAGAACUGGGGAAACUAGUCUGAGACGCAGCCCUGCUUGUCCCCCUUCUUCAUUCACCCCCAUGUUGAGGGCCUUGGCUUUUGCAUAAUGUGGGAGCUCCUGGAGAGGAGGGUGCUUCCCAGCAGCUCCUGUUCGACCCCCAGCCCCGGGCCAAGGGCACAGAGAGAGAACACCCUUUAAAAAAAUGUAUUUAAAGAGGCUGGUUCCUAUCCAUCCGACUGGAGGCAUCUCAGUGCAAGAGCAAAGCUAAGUCCUGCACAUACACCUCCCCUCCUCCUCCUCCUCCUCCUCC
This 385-nucleotide long non-coding RNA is filed under the name Cebus imitator (Panamanian white-faced capuchin). RNAcentral describes it as "lncRNA (ENSCCAG00000038154.1)". The record is from RNAcentral. Lineage: Eukaryota; Metazoa; Chordata; Mammalia; Primates; Cebidae.